CUUUUCUCUCUCUUUUUUUUUAUUAUUAUUUUUGAUAGAAAUCGAUGGGGUUUUUGGGUUGCUUUUUGAUAGGGAAUGAAAGAAACACAAACGUUGACCUCUGCCUCUCAUUUCAUUUAUUGGAUGUGUUUGUCGAUUUCUUUCUACUUAAUCCUUCAGGUUGGUUUUUUUUGGGCUUUAGUAUGCCUUCCAUGUGUUCGAUGAAAGUUCUAUUUGAACUUUAACUCAUACAACUGCUUAUCUUGAUUCAUUGUAACAAUUCCUUUUUUUUUACAUUUGGUUGUUUUACUUGCCAACGCUACCCUACAAGCAUCUCAUCCUACAUAUUGCUUCAACAUGUCCACCAGUUUCUCCUUUUGGUGCCAUUAUUCUUCAGUGGAACCAUAGAUUAUGGUGAGUUUCUUGCUGCAACUCUUCACCCUAACAACCUGGAGAGAGGGGAGAAUUUGCUUUCUGCUUUUGCAUUCUUUGAUAACGAUGGAAGUGGAUACAAUGAUCCAAGAAAUGGAUCAAGAUAAUGAUUGACAAAUUGAUUUUGGGGAAUUUGCUCCGACUAUGAGGAAGGGUAAUGGUGGAAUUGGGAGAAGAACCAUGAGAGGUAACCUUAAUUUAAACUUAAUGUGAACUUGUAGGUGGUGUGUCACCCAAAAGUCAACUGCAAACUAAAGUCAACAGCAGUGAAAAAAUUGACAUUACUAUUGUUAUUAUUAUUAUUUCUUUGUUUUUAAACGAAAUGGGGUUAACAUUGAACUAGGAUAUAUAUACAUAUAAAUAUAUUUGACUUUGUCUUUGUUUAUGGGCUAUGGUGACUUGGCUACUUGCUACAUUCAAAAUUGAAAGUCAAUCCAAAAAUGUGAAGCUUAGAUUUGAGCCUAAGGGCUUACAAUAAGUAACAACGACAGAGUCUUCUCUGCUAAUUAAGCUGACUAUUUUUGUCUUGGAGCCCUUACAGUGACAUGACAAAUUAUCAAGAUAGGUUCUUAAAGUGGCAAUCAAAAUAUGAGACGUUGUUUAGUUCCAUCAAUACAUAAUUUGAAACGGAUAUUUUAGUUCUCAAUGGAGUAUUAUAAAACGAAUGAUUGGAAAAAAAAAAAUCUCUUCUACCAUGAUGUGUUUCUGGUACAUGAAUCUUUAUUUAUUUAUUUAUUCAUAAUUGGUUCGUUUUCUGCUAUUUUAUGGUUACUACCGUAAGGGCUAUGUUGUAAUUUCAUAUGGUUGGAAUAUUUGCAGAUAGAAACCAAAAAAUAUAACCGAAAAAUGUGAUUUUUAAAAAGAUCCAAAUUUCAUGUGGUCAAUAAUGAUGAUCAUAAUAUAAUUUUGAAAAGGUUUUUCAUAUUUUUAACAAGUUGUCAUGUUUAAUCUUUUUGGUAUAUUGGUCAACAGGAGGAUAUUCUUCACAAAGAAGCCUAAUUCAACAAAAGGGACAAAA
Lactuca sativa (garden lettuce) is the source of this 1429-nucleotide long non-coding RNA. RefSeq lists it as uncharacterized. The record is from RefSeq and is a predicted model, not a curated record. Lineage: Eukaryota; Viridiplantae; Streptophyta; Magnoliopsida; Asterales; Asteraceae.